AAAUCCGCUUUGAUAAUGCUGGGAUGUGAUGGGGAGCGAAAUUUAGUAGCGAAGUAGCUGAUUUCACACUGUCAAGAAAAGUCUCUAUCGAGGUUAAAGGUACCCGUACCGCAAACCGACACAGGUGGGUGAGGAGAGUAUCCUAAGGCCAGCGAGAGAACUGUUGUUAAGGAACUCGGCAAAAUGACCCCGUAACUUAGGGAUAAGGGGUGCCACCAUCAGGUGGCCGCAGAGAAUAGGCCCAAGCGACUGUUUACCAAAAACAUAGGUUUCUGCUAAGUCGCAAGACGAUGUAUAGGAGCUGACGCCUGCCCGGUGCUGGAAGGUUAAGGGGAUCUGUUAGAGCAAUCGAAGCAGUGAACUUAAGCCCCAGUAAACGGCGGCCGUAACUAUAACGGUCCUAAGGUAGCGAAAUUCCUUGUCGGGUAAGUUCCGACCCGCACGAAAGGCGUAACGAUUUGGGCACUGUCUCAACAACAGACUCGGUGAAAUUGUAAUUCCGGUGAAGAUGCCGGAUACCUGCGACAGGACGGAAAGACCCCAUGGAGCUUUACUGUAGCUUGACAUUGGGUCUUGGUACUACAUGUACAGGAUAGGUGGGAGGCUUUGAAACCAGGACGCCAGUUUUGGCGGAGCCAUCCUUGGGAUACCACCCUUGUAGUACUGGGACUCUAACCAUAGGCCAUGAAUCUGGUCUUGGGACACUGUCAGGUGGGCAGUUUGACUGGGGCGGUCGCCUCCCAAAAGGUAACGGAGGCGCUCAAAGGUUCUCUCAGUACGGUCGGAAAUCGUACGUAGAGUGUAAAGGCAAAAGAGAGCUUGAUUGCAAGACAUACAGGUCGAGCAAGGAUGAAAAUCGGACUUAGUGAUCCGGUGGUUCUGCGUGGAAGGGCCAUCGCUCAACGGAUAAAAGCUACCCUGGGGAUAACAGGCUUAUCUCCCCCAAGAGUCCACAUCGACGGGGAGGUUUGGCACCUCGAUGUCGGCUCAUCACAUCCUGGGGCUGUAGUAGGUCCCAAGGGUUGGGCUGUUCGCCCAUUAAAGUGGUACGCGAGCUGGGUUCAGAACGUCGUGAGACAGUUCGGUCCCUAUCCGUCGCAGGCGUAGGAAAUUUGAGAAGACCUGUCCUUAGUACGAGAGGACCGGGAUGGACGUACCUCUGGUGUACCAGUUGUCCUGCCAAGGGCAUGGCUGGGUAGCUAUGUACGGAAUGGAUAAGCGCUGAAAGCAUCUAAGCGCGAAGCCAACUUCAAGAUAAGAUUUCCCACCGCAAGGGUAAGACCCCAGAAAGACUAUCUGGUUGAUAGGUCGAAGGUGUAAGUGCAGCAAUGUAUUUAGCUUAUCGAUACUAAUAGGUCGAGGACUUGACC
Molecule: ribosomal RNA, 1370 nt
Filed under: Clostridioides difficile
Lineage: Bacteria; Bacillati; Bacillota; Clostridia; Peptostreptococcales; Peptostreptococcaceae
Description: bacterial LSU rRNA
Rfam family: Bacterial large subunit ribosomal RNA
Source: RNAcentral